RNAcentral lists this ribosomal RNA (253 nucleotides) under uncultured bacterium. Its description in RNAcentral is "partial 16S ribosomal RNA". It matches the Rfam family "Bacterial small subunit ribosomal RNA", at positions 524 to 776 of the family's 1533-position model. The record is from RNAcentral.
UACAGAGGGUGCGAGCGUUAAUCGGAGUUACUGGGCGUAAAGGGCGCGUAGGCGGUGAGAUGAGUGUGAUGUGAAAGCCCCGGGCUUAACCUGGGAAGUGCAUCGCAAACUAUCUGACUGGAGUAUAUGAGAGGGUGGCGGAAUUUCCGGUGUAGCGGUGAAAUGCGUAGAGAUCGGAAGGAACGUCGAUGGCGAAGGCAGCCACCUGGCAUAAUACUGACGCUGACGCGCGAAAGCGUGGGGAGCGAACAGG